This 253-nucleotide ribosomal RNA is filed under the name uncultured bacterium. Its description in RNAcentral is "partial 16S ribosomal RNA". It matches the Rfam family "Bacterial small subunit ribosomal RNA", at positions 524 to 776 of the family's 1533-position model. The record is from RNAcentral.
UACGUAGGGUGCGAGCGUUAAUCGGAAUUACUGGGCGUAAAGCGUGCGCAGGCGGUUUUGUAAGCCCGACGUGAAAUCCCCGGGCUUAACCUGGGAAUGGCGUUUGGGACUGGAAGUCUGGAGUGCGGCAGAGGAGACUGGAAUUCCUGGUGUAGCAGUGAAAUGCGUAGAUAUCAGGAGGAACACCGAUGGCGAAGGCAGGUCUCUGGGCUGACACUGACGCUCAUGCACGAAAGCGUGGGGAGCAAACAGG